GAUGAACGCUAGCGGCAGGCCUAAUACAUGCAAGUCAAGGGGAUAGCAAUAUCACCGGCGGACGGGUGCGUAACGCGUACACAACGUGCCCAAGGGCGGAGGAAAGCGGCGGGAAACUGCCGGUAAUACUCCAUGGUGUUGUUGAGUGGCAUCACUUAACAACUAAAGUACAAGCGCCCUUGGAUCGGUGUGCGUUCGAUUAGCUAGUUGGCGGGGUAACGCCCACCAAGGCUUCGAUCGAUAGGGGGUGUGAGAGCAUGACCCCCCACACGGGUACUGAGACACGGACCCGACUCCUACGGGAGGCAGCAGUAAGGAAUAUUGGACAAUGGGCGGGAAGCCUGAUCCAGCCAUGCCGCGUGAAGGACGAAGGCGCUCAGCGUUGUAAACUUCUUUUGGAUGGGAACAAUAACUCCGACUUGUCGGAACUUGAGGGUACCAUCAGAAUAAGCACCGGCUAACUCCGUGCCAGCAGCCGCGGUAAAGUAGUCCGUGU
This 496-nucleotide ribosomal RNA is filed under the name uncultured bacterium. RNAcentral's name for it is "bacterial SSU rRNA". It matches the Rfam family "Bacterial small subunit ribosomal RNA", at positions 28 to 535 of the family's 1533-position model. The record is from RNAcentral.